UUUUUCUUCUCUUUUUGGCGUAUUUCUUUCCCUGUCUUUUUUUCUUCUUCUUUUUUCAAUCAUAGUCAUUUAAUAGCAUUGAUAGACAUUACAAAUAACCAUCCCACAAUAGGAAAGUGGGAGCUAAAGGUUCAUGGUCCCACAGACUACAUGCCACAACUCCCCCAGAACACCCCACCCUCUCCACUACCCGCUUCCUUGUGUUCCUCUCCUUCUGACCAGAGUCCAGGAGUACAGGGAGGGGAGGGGAGGAGAGAGGAGGAGAGAGGAGGAGAACACAGAAAGACAGCUGAAGAAGGGGGAACAGAGGAUGAAGUCUCUCGCUCUCAUGUUCUUCCCCUCAGAGUGACAUCUUGGGAGAGAAAGAGAGAGAUCAAGAGGAGAGGAGGAGCGAAUUGAGAAGGGGGAUAUCAGCCUUAUUGGACCGACUGCAGGGUGGGGGCACAGGGGUUGCAUAGGGGCAGAUGGAGGUACAGCUCCCCCAUGUGGCCGUGGAAGAAGACAGCAGAGUCUGAUAGACCCAUAGCCAGACCUCCAGACCAGAGGACACCUUCACAUUCCCUGACCCAGCACACAACACCUCAGAGUGGCGAGAGGAGACCGUCAUCUGUCCUUCCAAGCUGAACCACAUGACCCAGCAGAGAGCAUCUUUGGAGUGUCCUGUCUGACUGAGAUGAACGGGCUUGGUCCGGGAUGAGACUGUCAUCCUAAUGUCUCGUCUGUAUCCAGACUUUGAGUGGGUUGUGCUGAAGCUUCAGAAUAGCUUCUUGUUCUGUGAGAGAUCUUUUCUGGAGGACAUCAUCAUUCAGUGUAACGGGCCUAUGACUUACUUAUCUAGUGUUGCAGAGACUACCAACAGGCUUGUGUGCUAGUCUAAUGACAACCCUUGUCAUUCAGUGUAACGGGCCUAUGACUUACUUAUCUAGUGUUGCAGAGACUACCAACAGGCUUGUGUGCUAG
Molecule: long non-coding RNA, 960 nt
Organism: Oncorhynchus gorbuscha (pink salmon)
Lineage: Eukaryota; Metazoa; Chordata; Actinopteri; Salmoniformes; Salmonidae
Exons: 5
Source: RefSeq, a predicted model, not a curated record